RNAcentral lists this ribosomal RNA (631 nucleotides) under Centropomus viridis. RNAcentral's name for it is "partial 16S ribosomal RNA". It matches the Rfam family "Bacterial large subunit ribosomal RNA", at positions 1797 to 2619 of the family's 2925-position model. Lineage: Eukaryota; Metazoa; Chordata; Actinopteri; Centropomidae. The record is from RNAcentral.
CGCCUGUUUAUCAAAAACAUCGCCUCUUGCAAAACAAAAAUAAGAGGUCCUGCCUGCCCAGUGUGAAACUUUUCUCAACGGCCGCGGUAUUUUGACCGUGCUAAGGUAGCGUAAUCAUUUGUCUUUUAAAUGAAGACCUGUAUGAAUGGCUCGACGAGGGCUUAGCUGUCUCCUUUUUCAGGUCAAUGAAAUUGAUCUCCCCGUGCAAAAGCGGGGAUACACCCAUAAGACGAGAAGACCCUAUGGAGCUUCAGAUGUUACAGCAAGCAUUAUGUGCUACUUCCAAACAAAGGGGGUAUCACUAGCCCCUGCCCAAACAUCUUCGGUUGGGGUGACCAUGGGGAACAAAAAACCCCCACGCCUCUGUAUUGGAGUCUCCUAUACACCUAAACAAACUCCCUCAAACAAGAGCCACCGCUCUAGUUUAACAGAAUUUCUGACCACCGAUCCGGCAACGCCGAUUAACGAACCAAGUUACCCUAGGGAUAACAGCGCAAUCCCCUUUCAGAGCCCAUAUCGAUAAGGGGGCUUACGACCUCGAUGUUGGAUCAGGACAUCCUAAUGGUGCAACCGCUAUUAAGGGUUCGUUUGUUCAACGAUUAAAGUCCUACGUGAUCUGAGUUCAGACCGG